AACGUAGGAGGCAAGCGUUAUCCGGAGUUACUGGGCGUAAAGCGCGCGUAGGCGGUCGGGCAAGUUGGGUGUGAAAGCUCCCGGCUAAACUGGGAGAGGCCAUUCAAGACUGCCAGGCUAGAGGUCGGUAGAGGGGCGCAGAAUUCGGGGUGUAGCGGUGAAAUGUGUAGAGAUCCCGAGGAAUACCAGUGGGGAAGCCGGCGCCCUGGGCCGAACCUGACGCUGAGGCGCGACAGCGUGGGGAGCGAACGGGAUUAGAAACCCCGGUAGUCC
Molecule: ribosomal RNA, 273 nt
Filed under: uncultured bacterium
Lineage: Bacteria
Description: partial 16S ribosomal RNA
Rfam family: Bacterial small subunit ribosomal RNA
Source: RNAcentral